GACGAACGCUGGCGGCGUGCUUAACACAUGCAAGUCGAACGGAAAGGCCCUGCUUGCAGGGUACUCGAGUGGCGAACGGGUGAGUAACACGUGGGUGAUCUGCCCUGCACUUCGGGAUAAGCCUGGGAAACUGGGUCUAAUACCGGAUAGGAGCCAUUUUUAGUGUGAUGUUGGAAAGUUUUUUCGGUGUAGGAUGAGCUCGCGGCCUAUCAGCUUGUUGGUGGGGUAAUGGCCUACCAAGGCGGCGACGGGUAGCCGGCCUGAGAGGGUGGACGGCCACAUUGGGACUGAGAUACGGCCCAGACUCCUACGGGAGGCAGCAGUGGGGAAUAUUGCACAAUGGGCGCAAGCCUGAUGCAGCGACGCCGCGUGGGGGAUGACGGCCUUCGGGUUGGAAACUCCUUUCGCUAGGGACGAAGCUUUUUGUGACGGUACCUAGAUAAGAAGCACCGGCUAACUACGUG
This 464-nucleotide ribosomal RNA is filed under the name uncultured bacterium. RNAcentral describes it as "partial 16S ribosomal RNA". It matches the Rfam family "Bacterial small subunit ribosomal RNA", at positions 28 to 507 of the family's 1533-position model. The record is from RNAcentral.